Molecule: long non-coding RNA, 748 nt
Organism: Gossypium arboreum
Lineage: Eukaryota; Viridiplantae; Streptophyta; Magnoliopsida; Malvales; Malvaceae
Exons: 2
Source: RefSeq, a predicted model, not a curated record
AAAAACAACACUCAUGCUCGGACUAAAUUGGAACAGUGCGCAAACUUCAGGGAAAAAAUGCAAGGAACAGAAUAAGGUCAAGUCAAGGGAAGUGCAAAUAAGGAGGGACUGGCCGCGAAAUUAUCCAUUUAGAGGAAUAUGCGCAUCUCCCACCUAUAUUCAACGUACAGACUACUUUUUCCCUUCCCCAGACAUUGCUUUUAAAAGUAAAAAACAAAUAAAGCCUUCACUUUGAUUUCCUUUUUUUUUAAAACAUUUAAGAACCCUUUUUUUUUUUAAAAUGUUUUUAACUUUCUCUGCUAGGAUUCCAAACCAAAAUGUGCAGCCACUAAACCGCCACCAUACGGUGGCCGACAGCGCGCAAACGAAGGCCAACUUCACCAACGGAGGAGAACUCCGACCAUGAAUGGGAAGGGCUAGGUUCGAUUGAGCACAACUCUGACGUGGCUUGAUGGAGGAGCGUACGGCACGGAGGGGCGCACGAUGUGCGGCACGUGAUAUGUGGGCGUGGGCACGAGCAGCAGCUUUUCUAGGGUUUUCUUUUGCUGGAAAAAAAAAUUAAGUUAUUGGGCUAAAAACUUGGGCUAGGGUUUAGUCUAUUUUUUUAUAUUUUGGGCUUAAAAUUGGACUGUUUAGUUUUUUGAUUUGGGGGUUGUGUUUAAUGAAUUGUAUUUUGGGCCGGGUAAAAAUUGAGUCCAACAGCUAUAUAAAUAGCUUUUCACAAUUUAUUUCACAUUUCAUUAUACAA